CGUCCAGACUCCUACGGGAGGCAGCAGUGGGGGAUAUUGCACAAUGGGGGGAACCCUGAUGCAGCGACGCCGCGUGGGUGAAGGAGUGCUUCGGCAUGUAAAGCCCUAUCGGCAGGGAAGAAGCAAGACGGUACCUGACUAAGAAGCCCCGGCUAACUACGUGCCAGCAGCCGCGGUAAUACGUAGGGGGCAAGCGUUAUCCGGAUUUACUAGGUGUAAAGGGAGCGUAGACGGUUACGCAAGUCUGGAGUGAAAGGCGGGGGCCCAACCCCCGGACUGCUUUGGAAACUGUAUAACUGGAGUGCAGGAGAGGUAAGUGGAAUUCCUAGUGUAGCGGUGAAAUGCGUAGAUAUCAGGAGGAACACCGGUGGCGAAGGCGGCCUGCUGGACUGCAACUGACGUUGAGGCCCGAAAGCGUGGGGAGCAAACAGGAUUAGAUACCCCCGUA
Molecule: ribosomal RNA, 448 nt
Filed under: uncultured bacterium
Lineage: Bacteria
Description: bacterial SSU rRNA
Rfam family: Bacterial small subunit ribosomal RNA
Source: RNAcentral